GACGAACCGAGCGAACGUUGUUCGGAAUCACUGGGCUUAAAGGGCGCGUAGGCGGGCUAUCAAGUCCGGGGUGAAAUCCUCCAGCUUAACUGGAGAACGGCCUCGGAUACUGAUGGUCUCGAGGGAGAUAGGGGCACGCGGAACUGUGGGUGGAGCGGUGAAAUGCGUUGAUAUCCAUAGGAACUCCGGUGGCGAAGGCGGCGUGCUGGAUCUCAUCUGACGCUGAGGCGCGAAAGCCAGGGGAGCAAACGGG
This 253-nucleotide ribosomal RNA is filed under the name uncultured bacterium. RNAcentral's name for it is "partial 16S ribosomal RNA". It matches the Rfam family "Bacterial small subunit ribosomal RNA", at positions 524 to 776 of the family's 1533-position model. The record is from RNAcentral.